Molecule: ribosomal RNA, 216 nt
Filed under: Glomeromycotina sp.
Lineage: Eukaryota; Fungi; Glomeromycota
Description: partial small subunit ribosomal RNA
Rfam family: Eukaryotic small subunit ribosomal RNA (bases 46-216)
Source: RNAcentral
GGGUCAGUAGGGUGGUCGUGCCACCGGUACGUACUGGUCUCACCGAUUCCUCCUUCCUGAAGAACGGUAAUGCCAUUAAUUUGGUGUUGCGGGGAAACAGGACUGUUACUUUGAAAAAAUUAGAGUGUUUAAAGCAAGCUAACGCUUGAAUACAUUAGCAUGGAAUAAUGAAAUAGGACGAUCGAUCCUAUUUUGUUGGUUUCUAGGAUUGACGUA